RNAcentral lists this ribosomal RNA (749 nucleotides) under Calvatia sp. MB-2015. Its description in RNAcentral is "eukaryotic LSU rRNA". The stretch from base 308 to 461 matches the Rfam family "5.8S ribosomal RNA". Lineage: Eukaryota; Fungi; Basidiomycota; Agaricomycetes; Agaricales; Lycoperdaceae. The record is from RNAcentral.
CGUACAAGGUUUCGUAGGUGAACUGCGGAAGGAUCAUUAUUGAAUAUUCAUGAUGGGUUGUAGCUGGCUCUUAGGAGCAUGUGCACACUUGUCUUGAUUCUAUUCAUCCACCUGUGCACCUUUUGUAGUCUUGGAGGUAGAGAGCAGUCAACUAUCGGACAGCUAUUAGUUGUUCCGGAUAUGGGAAAUGCUGAAAGCUUUUCUCAAAUGACUUGCAAACCUCUCUUUCAAGUCUAUGUAUUCAUAUACCACAUAGUAUGUUGCAGAAUGUGAUCAAUGGGCCUUUGUGCCUAUAAUAACCAUAUACAACUUUCAGCAACGGAUCUCUUGGCUCUCGCAUCGAUGAAGAACGCAGCGAAAUGCGAUAAGUAAUGUGAAUUGCAGAAUUCAGUGAAUCAUCGAAUCUUUGAACGCACCUUGCGCUCCUUGGUAUUCCGAGGAGCAUGCCUGUUUGAGUGUCAUUAAAUUCUCAAUCCUUAUAGCUUUUAUAAGCUUUAGGACUUGGAAUUGGGAGUUUGCGGGCCUUAUAAAGGUCAGCUCUUCUGAAAUACAUUAGCGGAACUGUUUGCAGUCCCGUCACUGGUGUGAUAAUUAUCUACACUGUGAUGAUUGCUCUCUAGUUGUUCAGCUGCUAAUUGUCCAUUAGUGGACACUACUUAAUGAACCUCUGACCUCAAAUCAGUAGGAUUACCCGCUGAACUUAAGCAUAUCAAUAAGCGGAGGAAAAGAAACUAACAAGGAUUCCCCUA